ACAACACCUAAAACACACACUACACACGCCAUUUUCCAUUUAAGCUUGGACGGAGCUUUUGACCUCCGAUUUGAGCACCGAGACGAGCGCCGAUCAUCUUUUCGAUCACGUAUCUAAGUAGGUUGAGCUGAUGUGAUGAUGGUGCUGCAAUGAGCGGAGUCUCCAGGGUUGUUAAUAAAUAGUUAACCUGUCUAGAAUAUGUCUUCAUACAUAUGUCUAGCUACUUUCCGCUGCAAGAUGUUGUUGAUGUUAUAGUAUGUUAUGUCAUACUUUGUGUCUUAAGAGAAUGGUUGCAUAUGAUGUAUAACUUGAUUAAUGAUAUUAAUUAACUUUUAUGCAGUCUUUCAUAGACUGUUUUCAAUUGAGUAUUAAUGAAUAAAAAUGACGAGUUU
Molecule: long non-coding RNA, 392 nt
Organism: Salvia miltiorrhiza (redroot sage)
Lineage: Eukaryota; Viridiplantae; Streptophyta; Magnoliopsida; Lamiales; Lamiaceae
Exons: 2
Source: RefSeq, a predicted model, not a curated record